Molecule: ribosomal RNA, 293 nt
Filed under: uncultured bacterium
Lineage: Bacteria
Description: partial 16S ribosomal RNA
Rfam family: Archaeal small subunit ribosomal RNA
Source: RNAcentral
GUGCCAGUCGCCGCGGUAAUACCGGCAGCCCGAGUGAUGGCCGCUGUUAUUGGGCCUAAAGCGUCCGUAGCUGGCCGCACGAGUCCGUCGGGAAAUCCACCCGCCCAACGGGUGGGCGUCCGGUGGAAACUGCGUGGCUUGGGACCGGAAGGCGCGACGGGUACGUCCGGGGUAGGAGUGAAAUCCCGUAAUCCUGGACGGACCGCCGAUGGCGAAAGCACGUCGCGAAGACGGAUCCGACAGUGAGGGACGAAAGCUAGGGUCUCGAACCGGAUUAGAAACCCGUGGAGUCC